UAGGGAAUCUUCCGCAAUGGGCGAAAGCCUGACGGAGCAACGCCGCGUGAGUGAUGAAGGUCUUCGGAUCGUAAAACUCUGUUAUUAGGGAAGAACAAAUGUGUAAGUAACUAUGCACGUCUUGACGGUACCUAAUCAGAAAGCCACGGCUAACUACGUGCCAGCAGCCGCGGUAAUACGUAGGUGGCAAGCGUUAUCCGGAAUUAUUGGGCGUAAAGCGCGCGUAGGCGGUUUUUUACGUCUGAUGUGAAAGCCCACGGCUCAACCGUGGAGGGUCAUUGGAAACUGGAAAACUUGGGUGCAGAAGAGGAAAGUGGAAUUCCAUGUGUAGCGGUGAAAUGCGCAGAGAUAUGGAGGAACACCAGUGGCGAAGGCGACUUUCUGGUCUGUAACUGACGCUGAUGUGCGAAAGCGUGGGGAUCAAACAGG
This 429-nucleotide ribosomal RNA is filed under the name Actinomycetes bacterium. Its description in RNAcentral is "Actinobacteria bacterium partial 16S ribosomal RNA". It matches the Rfam family "Bacterial small subunit ribosomal RNA", at positions 355 to 776 of the family's 1533-position model. The record is from RNAcentral. Lineage: Bacteria; Bacillati; Actinomycetota; Actinomycetes.